Molecule: ribosomal RNA, 245 nt
Filed under: uncultured Paracoccaceae bacterium
Lineage: Bacteria; Pseudomonadati; Pseudomonadota; Alphaproteobacteria; Rhodobacterales; Paracoccaceae
Description: uncultured Rhodobacteraceae bacterium partial 16S ribosomal RNA
Rfam family: Bacterial small subunit ribosomal RNA
Source: RNAcentral
UACGAAGGGGGCUAGCGUUGUUCGGAAUCACUGGGCGUAAAGCGCACGUAGGCGGACUUUUAAGUCAGGGGUGAAAUCCCGGGGCUCAACCUCGGAACUGCCUUUGAUACUGGAAGUCUGGAGUCCGAGAGAGGUGAGUGGAACUCCGAGUGUAGAGGUGAAAUUCGUAGAUAUUCGGAAGAACACCAGUGGCGAAGGCGGCUCACUGGCUCGGUACUGACGCUGAGGUGCGAAAGCGUGGGGAG